GUGAAAAAUAAAUGUGACUGUUGAAGAGGAACCAGCAGCCGUUGCUCUGUACAGGUCAGAGCCCCUCCCCUGGUCCCUUGUGACCUCCUCGAAGCGGCAUGUCCGAGACGCUGCGAACAUCCUUCAGGGCUGCCGCCUGCCACACUCAGACACGGAGGAGCGCGGGCAAGGCCGUGGCCAGGACCCACACGCACAGCAGUUACCUGCCUUUUACACGGAGGAGCGCGGGCAAGGCCGUGGCCAGGAACCACACGCACAGCAGUUACCUGCCUUUUACUGCUUGUUUAGGACACCAGCAAAUUGAGGUGAGGACAGCUGAUGUCACAGUGUCUCCUGUACAUUAAGAGCCAAACUGGAACAUGGAGCUGUGAAGCCUGCAAGGGAAGAUCCUCCUGCUGGUCUUGUGAACAAGGCUUUAUGGAAAUAUGAGACAGAGUUUCAAUAAAAUCAAAAUGCACAUCAACCUUUACUCAUCUA
This 477-nucleotide long non-coding RNA is filed under the name Macaca mulatta (Rhesus monkey). RNAcentral describes it as "lncRNA (ENSMMUG00000051270.1)". The record is from RNAcentral. Lineage: Eukaryota; Metazoa; Chordata; Mammalia; Primates; Cercopithecidae.